RNAcentral lists this ribosomal RNA (102 nucleotides) under uncultured bacterium. RNAcentral describes it as "partial 16S ribosomal RNA". The record is from RNAcentral.
CCUUCGGGUCGUAAAGCUCUGUCAGUGGGAAAGAAAUGCACGAGGGUCAAUACCCCUUGUGCUUGACGGUACCCACAAAGGAAGCACCGGCUAACUCCGUGC